Molecule: ribosomal RNA, 115 nt
Filed under: Cordylochernes scorpioides
Lineage: Eukaryota; Metazoa; Arthropoda; Arachnida; Pseudoscorpiones; Chernetidae
Source: RNAcentral
ACGGCCAUACCACAUUGAAAACACCGGUUCUUGUUCGAUCACCGAAGUUAAGCAAUGUCAGGCCCGGUCAGUACUUGGGAGGGUGACCACUUGGGAACACCGGGUGCUGUUGGCU